This 253-nucleotide ribosomal RNA is filed under the name uncultured bacterium. Its description in RNAcentral is "partial 16S ribosomal RNA". It matches the Rfam family "Bacterial small subunit ribosomal RNA", at positions 524 to 776 of the family's 1533-position model. The record is from RNAcentral.
UACGGAGGGGACUAGCGUUGUUCGGAAUUACUGGGCGUAAAGCGCACGUAGGCGGAUUUGUAAGUCAGGGGUGAAAUCCCGGGGCUCAACCUCGGAACUGCCUUUGAUACUGCAAAUCUCGAGUCCGGAAGAGGUGAGUGGAAUUCCUAGUGUAGAGGUGAAAUUCGUAGAUAUUAGGAAGAACACCAGUGGCGAAGGCGACUUUCUGGCCUGUUCUUGACGCUGAGGCGCGAAAGCUAGGGGAGCAAACAGG